GAUGAACGCUGGCGGCGUGCCUAAUACAUGCAAGUCGAGCGAACAGACGAGGAGCUUGCUCCUCUGACGUUAGCGGCGGACGGGUGAGUAACACGUGGAUAACCUACCUAUAAGACUGGGAUAACUUCGGGAAACCGGAGCUAAUACCGGAUAAUAUAUUGAACCGCAUGGUUCAAUAGUGAAAGACGGUUUUGCUGUCACUUAUAGAUGGAUCCGCGCCGCAUUAGCUAGUUGGUAAGGUAACGGCUUACCAAGGCAACGAUGCGUAGCCGACCUGAGAGGGUGAACGGCCACACUGGAACUGAGACACGGUCCAGACUCCUACGGGAGGCAGCAGUAGGGAAUCUUCCGCAAUGGGCGAAAGCUUGACGGAGCAACGCCGCGUGAGUGAUGAAGGUCUUCGGAUCGUAAAACUCUGUUACUAGGGAAGAACAAAUGUGUAAGUAACUAUGCACGUCUUGACGGUACCUAAUCAGAAAGCCACGGCUAACUACGUG
RNAcentral lists this ribosomal RNA (497 nucleotides) under uncultured bacterium. RNAcentral's name for it is "partial 16S ribosomal RNA". It matches the Rfam family "Bacterial small subunit ribosomal RNA", at positions 28 to 507 of the family's 1533-position model. The record is from RNAcentral.